GUACAGUAUUUGUCUUUUUAUGUUUCAGGUUUGAUGAUAGGAGAACAGUGACUUGUACUUCACAGCUGGACCUCUGAGGUGCUGUUCAGGCCACGACAUUGUAAACCAGGGCUGGGGGGGCAAUUCUAUUUCAAAUCAGGAGGUAAAGCCGAAAUGCACAUUCCAAUGUUCCACAUUAAAAAGUUGAAAAAAAAGGAGAAUUGGAAUUUCAGUUGUACUUCCUGAAUCGACUGAUUUGAAAUGGAAUUGAGCCCAACCCUGCUAUAGACACACAGCAUGAAGUUUGUGCUAUCAUGCCAACUCCCUGUCACACUGAUGACCCUAGCCUGAGUGCCAGUCUGUUUGUGCUAUCAUGCCAACUCCCUGUCACACUGAUGACCCUAGCCUGAGUGCCAGUCUGUUUGUGCUAUCAUGCCAACUCCCUGUCACACUGAAAACAGAUCUGGGGUCAGGCUAUAGAAGGAGACAACAGAUCUGGGGUCAGUCUAUAGAAGGAGAAAAUAGAUCUGGGGUCAGGCUAUAGAAGGAGAAAAUAGAUCUGAGGUCAGGCUAUAGAAGGAGACAACAGAUCUGGGGUCAGGCUAUAGAAGGAGAAAACCGAUCUGGGGUCAGGCUAUAGAAGGAGACAACAGAUCUGGGGUCAGUCUAUAGAAGGAGACAACAGAUCUGGGGUCAGGCUAUAGAAGGAGACAACAGAUCUGGGGUCAGGCUAUAGAAGGAGAAACCGAUCUGGGGUCAGGCUAUAGAAGGAGACAACAGAUCUGGGGUCAGGCUAUAGAAGGAGACAACAGAUCUGGGGUCAGGCUAUAUAAGGAGAUAACAGAUCUGGGGUCAGGCUAUAUAAGAAGACAACAGAUCUGGGGUCAGGCUAUAGAAGGAGACAACAGAUCUGGGGUCAGGCUAUAGAAGGAGACAACAGAUCUGGGGUCAGGCUAUAGAAGGAG
Oncorhynchus tshawytscha (Chinook salmon) is the source of this 944-nucleotide long non-coding RNA. Lineage: Eukaryota; Metazoa; Chordata; Actinopteri; Salmoniformes; Salmonidae. The record is from Ensembl.